This is a long non-coding RNA of Oreochromis niloticus (Nile tilapia), 253 nucleotides long. RefSeq lists it as uncharacterized. The transcript is spliced from 2 exons. The record is from RefSeq and is a predicted model, not a curated record. NCBI's taxonomy places the organism in Eukaryota, Metazoa, Chordata, Actinopteri, Cichliformes, Cichlidae.
GUAGUCAUCAGGAAUGUGACAGAGCAGGAUGAAGGAUGCUAUUACUGUCUGUUUAUCACUUAUCCUGAAGGCUCCUUCAUUGGUAGAACCUGCCUCCAAGUCUAUGAGCUGCAUGAACCUGUUGUUGAUGUCAGAGAGUCAAACUCUACUGAAGAGUGGGUUGUUUCCUGUUCAGCCACUGGUCGACCUGCUCCCACUGUAACACUCAGUGUCUCACAACAAGACCUCAGCUUCUCACAGUACAACACUGUCA